Molecule: long non-coding RNA, 2290 nt
Organism: Mauremys reevesii (Reeves's turtle)
Lineage: Eukaryota; Metazoa; Chordata; Testudines; Geoemydidae
Exons: 8
Source: RefSeq, a predicted model, not a curated record
UGCUAGCAUGGAACCCCUAAAACAUUCUGGAGGUGCAGGGAUCAACACUAGCAGAUUUAAUUGCAAGACCAGGGUCUUAAAAUGGAAGAUAUUGAUAUGAACCUAAAUGGAACUACAGGAUCCAAGCACACCCGGGGAAUAUUUGAGUUGACUUUCCAGUGAUGCUAGCCUGCCCUUAUUAAUGGGUGCAUUGCCAUUGGAUGGAGCCCCUAGAACAGCAUCUGGUCACUUAACUCCAAGACCAACUCCCGGACCUACUCCUGAAAAGAUGAGACAAGCAGGCUUGACAAAACAAGAAGACUCAGAAGAUAAAUCUGAUUUUUAUAUCAAGAAGCACUACAAGGUGCCAUGAAGUUUGGCUGACACAUGGAACUAGCCUAGAGAGGAUCAGCAUCUGCUGUCGGUUAUGUAAGAUCUGUUGCAAGAACUUGCGGUAUGUGUGUCUGGUUGAGACAAGAUCUUGCCUGAGAAUGAGUGAGCAGAAGUCCAGUCCACACAAGAGAAAGAGGAAGCCUAUAGAGGAUACUUGAUAGAAGAUACGGUGGCUGGCGUUGGUAGGCUGUUCCAUUCUCCUGGCCAGAGAAACUUAAGUGCUUGCGAAAGGGGCAAUGGAGCGAGGGGGCAUGGUCUCCUGCCCUGAUGGACAUAGAGAGAGCCACGACCGCCUCCGGUGGGCAGAACCAGGAUACCCGCAGCCACCCCGCCAGAAGCAGAGGGGUGGGACAGGAACUGGAACUAGAAAAGGCUGGCCUUCAAGCUCAGUUGGGGCAGAGCAGCUAGAGGAGCAGGAUGUCUCUCCCCUGCUGCUGAAGCCGGGACUUGACGGCCGCUGCUCCCAUGCCAAAGACCUGGAAGGACUGCUGGAACUGCCAGACACCAGGGACACUGAGGAGCUGUUGGGGCUGCCACUUGCUGUUGAUCUGAGUGAGACCAACGACAACCCUGAACCCAGGUACCCCCAGAUUGGGAGUGAAGGAAGGAGCCCAGGAAAACCGAAUAGGGUUUGGCUGUGUGACUGAUUGCAAGCUGGCCAGUGUGUUGCGGUCGGAUUUCUCCACUGACCCAGUGGUGGACUACUCUGCCACUGUUAGGGCCCUGGGCUGGGAUGCAGUAAAGUGGGAGGGCCUGCGUCCCACUACCCCCUGCCACCCACCAUCAGGGAUGGCAGCCUCACCACUUUGUGGUCAGGAGGUCUGCAUCAGUCUGGCCCCCUCUAAACUAUGGCACCAGAUGGUUUGCUGACUCUCUCACCAGAGAGCUAAUCUCCCCUAGACUGCACUGUUGCUCUGCCUGACAGCAGGGAAGAGCCCCAUACCGGAACUGAUUGCUGUCCCGCCCUGAUUGAGGGCCCAGGCGAAUAGACUCUCUACUGCUCUACCUAACUGACUGUAGGUCAGAGACUCUACUGGAUUACUGCCCCAUCCUGAUUGCCCCUGAACCGAAGCACUCCGGAAGUGUUGUAGUGAGGGGGCGUGGGUUCCCGCCCUGACAGAUAGGGAGAGAGCUGUGACUGCCUUAUAGGCAACAAUGACAGGUUUAGAAAAUGGAGGUAUCUGUGUACAGAGCACAUAUUUUUGCAACAGAGACCAAUGUUUUGUUCUGUGUUUGUACAGCAGCUAGCAUAAUAGGGUCUUGGUCCAUGACUGGGGGCUUCUAGGUGCUAUCAUGAUACAAAUAAAUAAUAUCUUAUGAGCAGCAGAUACCCAAGUUUCCUUACACACAUUAUUUAUAUGAAUAUGGUACCAAGGAACCCCAGUCAGGGACUAGAACCCCAUUAUACUAUGGUCUGUAUACACAUACAACAGAGAUGGCUCCAGCCCCAAGGCGCUUACAAAUUAAGUAUAAGACAAGAGACAACAGAUAUAUACAGACAGGCAAGGGAGUACAUGGAAACAGUGAGACAAUGUUAGCCAGCAUGAUAGGCAGUGGUCUCUGCACACUAGCUCCAGUGUGCCUCGACUCUGGUCUCAGAGGCACCACCGAGAGUUGAGGGGAUAAUUCAAUCUUCAGGGUCAUUCAGCUCUUGGCCUCUGCUGAGAUUACAGGUAAGAGUUUUAGUCAGUGACAAAUGCGGUGCUGGCUGUGGGUUUUUUUGGUGUAGACACUGCCCACUAGGAAGUAGACUGAGACCAUUAUCUUAUUUCACAUAGGUUACUCAACUGUCAUGUGGUAAUAAUGCCUGGUCAUGUGGCCUGGACUCAUACUAGCAACCGAGAGGUGAAAGGCUCGUUGUCACUUUGGCAGUGCAUUGAAUUUUCCAGUUCUUGCCUGCCUCCACUCUAACCUCACC